Molecule: ribosomal RNA, 936 nt
Filed under: uncultured bacterium
Lineage: Bacteria
Description: bacterial SSU rRNA
Rfam family: Bacterial small subunit ribosomal RNA
Source: RNAcentral
CAUGCAAGUCGAACGAGAAUCUACUGAAAGAGUUUUCGGACGAUGGAAGUAGAGGAAAGUGGCGGACGGGUGAGUAACGCGUGAGGAACCUGCCUUGAAGAGGGGGACAACAGUUGGAAACGACUGCUAAUACCGCAUGAAGCAUAGGGGUCGCAUGAUUCUUAUGCCAAAGAUUUAUCGCUUCAAGAUGGCCUCGCGUCUGAUUAGCUAGUUGGCGGGGUAACGGCCCACCAAGGCGACGAUCAGUAGCCGGACUGAGAGGUUGAACGGCCACAUUGGGACUGAGAUACGGCCCAGACUCCUACGGGAGGCAGCAGUGGGGAAUAUUGGGCAAUGGGCGCAAGCCUGACCCAGCAACGCCGCGUGAAGGAAGAAGGCUUUCGGGUUGUAAACUUCUUUUAAGAGGGAAGAGCAGAAGACGGUACCUCUAGGAUAAGCCACGGCUAACUACGUGCCAGCAGCCGCGGUAAUACGUAGGUGGCAAGCGUUGUCCGGAUUUACUGGGUGUAAAGGGCGUGCAGCCGGGUCUGCAAGUCAGAUGUGAAAUCCAUGGGCUCAACCCAUGAACUGCAUUUGAAACUGUAGAUCUUGAGUGUCGGAGGGGCAAUCGGAAUUCCUAGUGUAGCGGUGAAAUGCGUAGAUAUUAGGAGGAACACCAGUGGCGAAGGCGGAUUGCUGGACGAUAACUGACGGUGAGGCGCGAAAGUGUGGGGAGCAAACAGGAUUAGAUACCCUGGUAGUCCACACUGUAAACGAUGAAUACUAGGUGUGCGGGGACUGACCCCCUGCGUGCCGCAGUAAACACAAUAAGUAUUCCACCUGGGGAGUACGAUCGCAAGGUUGAAACUCAAAGGAAUUGACGGGGGCCCGCACAAGCGGUGGACUAUGUGGUUUAAUUCGAAGCAACGCGAAGAACCUUACCAGGGUUUGACAUCC